UAGGGAAAAUGUUUGUAUCAUGAAGUAGCCUAAACCUAUCGAUGUUACAUUGAGCUGGGUGAAUGGAGAAUGACUGACAGUCAUCCAAUAUGCUGUAGUAGAAAUAAGGCCAUGCUCAUAUAAUAAAAAAUCGUCCUCCCUCAUCUUAAACGGCACAGAACGCCACUGGUUUCAAGACUGGUGGCAGACCCCCCAGUAAGACCCCCUAGUAAGACCAGAGACUGAUUAGCUGGGGGACUUGUUGACCAGGAUCAUUGAUAGCCAGCAACCCCUGGAAGGUAUCCCUGAUGAUGACUAUUUGGACAGUUCAGAUGGGGAACAGUUCCAAUCCUCAUUUAGUAGGACAUUCAUUCAACAUGUGCCAUCUCCGGACUGCAGAGUAUAUGUAAAGUCAUCUCUUGCAACACCAUAAUACACAUUAUUUAAUGAACUCAACUCUUGAAUAAGUAAUGUUCUGUAUUGCAGCAAGGUAAUCAUUUUCUAGAGGCAGAUGAUCACCAUAGCUUGGACAGGAUGAAGGGCAGAUAGGAUGAAGGUUAGCCAGUUACAUCUGCAGCAGCCAGGAGGGAAGAUUGCCUUUGUCACUAACCUGGGCCGGAGGACAAAGAGGCUGAGCAUGCAUGAGAAACUGCCAUGGAAUUUCAUGAGCACAAACUAAUGCAUUUAAAAGGAGAACAUGAUAUGAAGAUGCAAAUCCUGCAUGUUGAGUUGGCUAUGAAGGAGGAGGAUUCUGAAGCAGCAGCAGUACCAGUGUUCUUUUCCGACCAGCACCAGUUCGGGGUCCCGAUAUCUCCAUUUGUGAAUUAUAAACCUUUUUGUUACCAAUCCAUAUUGUUUGCUUCCAUCCCUUAAACUGCAUAUUCGAAGCAUGGCUAGUCCCUUUCUGUCAUUGUCUGCCUCAACCAUGGGAACAUCUGGGUCAUCCUCAUCUUCAGUGCUAGGAUCUGGACAGCCAUGCUGUUUGAGAAUGUUGUGAAGCACAGCUAUUGCAAUUAUGACAAUGCAGCUCUUCUUGGUUGAAGCACAAUGUGUUUAAUACACCAAACUAGACCUCUGGUUGGAUAUGAGCUUGGUUGUACUUUUGUUGCUCAGGUCCUAUUGCAUGAAGAUAGGGGGUGAACAUGAAGUUGUCACCAAAUAUGAUUUCACUAUGUUGUCCUCCUUCAAGCUGAGCAUUCUAAAAGUAGUUUUGGAAAAUCCUUGAGUCGUGAGUAGUACCUUUCCAAUGUGCAACAAUGUUGGAGAACUGCAAAUUGGGAGUGUCUUUCAGUUCACAUAUAGCAUUGCAGACUGUGUGGCCUAUUCUGCAUAUAGUCAGUUCACUUACACCACACACAUUUCCUGUUUCACAAUGGAAGGUUCCAGACGCUAAAAAGCUCAAGGUGAUCAGUACUUGUAGGGAAGGAGGGCUAUGCCUUCCCCUAAGAGAGUCAGAUGAAAGCCUUGGCUAAAGCAUUAUGUCAGCUACAUUUUCUUUGUACACACAGAAACGGUCACAGAAAUGUAUUUAAUACAAAUCAUUCAGUGGGUUGCUCCUGUCUAUAACCACCCUUCUGUCUGGUCUUGGUGGUGCUCUUUGAUCUUAAUUGAAAUAGUCCAGGUAAUCCAUUUUCCUCCAUUGCCAAGGUCAACCUGGGGGCUAACGUCCAUUAAUCUGAAAUGUUAUCCUGCCUCUGGCCAGGUUUCAUUUAAGCCUUCACUUAGAUCUAGCUUAACUCUAAUCGUCCUUCUGGAAAUCAGACUUUUUAAAUCUACACUAGGGGAAAUCUGAGACUAUUUUUAAACCAUGUCUGAGAAAUGCCAUUUCAGGUAGUCCAGUUUAAAAAUCCAAUUUAGGGUUGGAUUAGGCUUAAUCUGUGUCCGCAAAACCACCCCUAUGACAAUACAUUUCAGAAGGCCUUUCUUUGAGGGCCUAGUUACACCCGAAAAUCCAAUUUAUGGUCAUUCCAGAAUCUGCAAUGGCCAUCCAGCAUUUACUGAGAUGAGGCCUCUACAGAAGUCAGGGCAUUCAUACUUCUUGUGCUUUGCAGAGCUGUUGUGAAGGAAGUUGUCAAGGAAGUGAGUUUGUGUUUAUAUAGGACGAGGACGUACCGCCCCCACCUACCGUCAACCAAUCACGUCAAUGCUGAGCUAUACAGAGCCCUCCACAUUGUUAAAACUUUUGGGAGGUGCACAGCAAUGCGGUACAGAGCUUGAUUUGGCCUCUGCAAGCAUCCAGAGACUCCUCAAUUGCGUCACCCCCUCCAUACGGAGCCUCCAGACCGCAUUGCCGAUCAAGCAUAAAUCGGCUUUAACGCAGUGGUCUGAAACUCCUGGUUUCCAGGCCACAUCAAGCCUGCAAGUCUCAUAUGCUGGCUUGCAAAGUGAUGUUAUUCCUAUUGGAAUCCAGUGUGAGGCUAUCCAACAAUUGUAACUUUUUAUCACCCUUACCCUGCAUUGAGAAUGACUGCCAGGGUAGUGAAGACUUGAUUGAGACUGCUUAAAUCAUGGGUGUCUAACUCAUUCCAUGGAGGGCCUAGUGUCUGCAGGUUUUUGUUUGUUCCUUUCAAUUAAGACCUAGACAACCAGGUGAGUUCUUCAUUAAUUAGUGACUUUAAAUCAUCAAUCAAGUACAGUACAAGGGAGGAGCAAAAACCCACAAACACUUGGCCUUUAGUAGAAUGAAUUAAAUAUGUAAUUUAAAUCAAAUAAACUGGAACAGCCAUCUCAGUAACGGGUGCAAAAUUUACAACUACUAACAGAUUGGAAAAAUUUGUAUAACAUAAGUUAUUGAAGUUUGUGUAGCAUAAGAUUAAUCAACCAAUCAACAUACACAUGCAAAAACACAGGUUUUGAAACAAACAAUUCUGAAAACAAACCUUCAAUAGAGCAUGCUGGGAAAUAUAAUGAUGGGUGUGGUUUUGAGCAAACAUACAUUUGUCAUUUUACUCAACAAGCUUGUUCAAUUUCAGCUCACUUAAAGCUGAGUUUGAGUUAACAAACUUUAGCACAUUAGCUGAAGUUUUUGUUAAUUUGAUGUCAGGUGUACUCAACUCACAAAUGAACGCUGAUUAAGCAAUUGGUUAAAUUGUCUUUUUUGCAAGUUUUAUUAGCCAUACACAUGGUACACUAUACACCAUCCAAUGAAACGCUUACUUGCAGGAUCCUGGACAACAAUGCAACAACAACAAAUAAUAAAAGAUAAGAAUAAGAACAAAGUAAAUGGCUUAGUAGAAAAAAAACAUUUUAGCGUAAGUGUAAUGCAGGAAGGCACAAUUUAUAGUCCAAUAUUUACACGUGUUUUGGAGAAGGGGUGAUUGUGCAGUAUUUAGGAAUCAUAACAAGACUUUAGUAGCAGCAGUUGUGAUGUGUGUCUGUGUGGGUGUUUUUUAUUUAUUUAUUAUUUAACUGCGAGUGAGUGAGUGAGUCCAUGUGUGCUAAGGUGUGGCAAAUCAGAGCAGGUGAUCAGUCGAGUUCAAGUGUUCAGCAGUCUGAUGGCUUGUUGAUAGAAACUAUUUCUAAGCCUGUUGGUAUCAGACCUCAUGCUCCGAUACUGUCUACCCGACGGUAAGGAGUGAACAGCAAGUGGCUGGGGUGUGUGUGUCCUUGAUGACACUACGGGCCUUCAUCAGGCACCGUUUCGAGUAGACAUCCAGGAUGGGUGGAAACACGGUUCCAGUGAUGUACGGGGCCGUCUUCACCACCUGCUGGAGGGCCUUGUGGUCGUGGACGGAGUAUUUCCCAUACCAGGCCGUGAUGCAACCGGUCAGGAUGCUCUCGAGUAUUUGGAGAGGACUCGGGGUGGCAUGCGGAAUUUCUUCAGUUGCCUUAGGAAUCAGAGACGCUGUUGCACCCUCUUGACAAGAGUGGUGGUGUUGUUGGUCUAUGUUAUGUCCUCUGUGAUGUGGAUGGCAAGGAACUUAACUGCUGACUCUCUACUGCAGUCCCAUUGAUAUAGUUUGUGGCACGUUCCCUCCUCUGCUUCCUGAAGUCAACAAUCAACUCCUUUUUUUGACUGACAUUGAGGGAGAGGUUGUUGUCCAGUGUAUAAUCCAAUAAUUGACUUACGCACAGUUCAGAUGCCAAACUUGUGGCAAGUUGAACUUUGGUUUGAUACAACUGCUCUCAACACCGCAGACUUUUUUAACCUUUAUUUAACUAGGCAAGUCAGUUAAGAACAAAUUCUUAUUUACAAUGACGGCCUAGGAACAGUGGGUUAACUGCCUUGUUCAGGGGCAGAAUGACAGAUCUUUACCUUGUCAGCUCAGGGAUUUGAUCGAGCAACCUUUCAGUUACUGGCCCAAUGAUCUAACCACUGGGCUACUUGCAGCCCCAACUUCCUUGUUGGUUUUGGGUCAAAUUCCUAAAAAGGCAAAGAAAGACGAUUCACACACCUGAGCUGCUACACUGUGAUGGAAUCACCCAGAUCACUCAAGCGUAAUUUGAGGUCAUUGUGAGACAAACUGGAAACAUGUCGAAGGAAGUUACAAUUGUGGAAGGAAAAAACUGAUAUCCAAUUUGUUACUUUCGAUUUGUUGACUGGGCGCCAAUGACAGCAUCCUGCGAUCCAUUGAUCUCUUUACUGCAUCUAUGCUCUUAACUAACCUUUCUUUGUCUACUAACAACCCACGAGUGGCCUGUACCUUGACAUGGUGAGUGGACUUCACACCAAGAUAGGUGAUUCAUUUAUAAUUUCUUCAUUUCUCAGACAACCACCUGUGUGUGCCCUUUCCCUCUCCCUUCAGCAGAAAUACUUACUGUAUGGAUCCAGGUGUGACUGUCACAGCUGCAACACAACUAUACAACACCAGAGACUUUGCAUAGCUGACUACAUUGGAGAUGCAGGCCGCUGACAUCACCUUUAUACUUUACUCUCUACAUUUGGGUUGCUGAGCUGCUGGUGAGAAACGGGUCAACAUAGCUGACCUGUGGAAUUUCACACUUCUGAGGCUGCAGCCAAGGGCAAAUAGCCAAGAGAUCUGCUGACGCUCAAGGUUAGUCUUCCUUCAAGAGAUCUGCUGAUGCUCAAGGAGGGAGACAUGGGCAUCCACGACCUGCUGGAAGGAGAUGCUUCCCUUCUGGAGCACGGGGCUGACGACAACUCAGGUGGAAGGAGGCCUCAUCUCCCUGCACAACGCAGCCUCAUACAGGAACAUGCAUAUUGUGGCCCUCCUGAUUAAGUUCAAUGAGCCUUUAACCCUCUCCACAAGGCAGCCCAGAAGGCUGGUGAUAUCUGUGCCCUGUUGAUGGACAUUAUGCCCCCAGGCACAGAGAAGAGGGAUUACCAGCUCAGCUCAAACUGUUCAAUCUCUGGAGGGGAUAACAAACAUUGCUCAAUCUUAUUGUAGAAAGUUGAUUUUGUACUGUUUAUCUUCACAGAGAUAACAUGAAAAAAAGCAUCUUAUAUGGUGAGCUACUGUAAUGGGUGUGUGUUGGUAGCAGGGAAGUCAGGCGCAGGAGAAUGAACUUGGUAUAAACGUAGUCGUUUAAUAAGUGCUGACCAAACUCCAAAAACCAAAAUAUAUAAAAAUAAAAAAGUGGGUACAAAACCCGUCGCACACCAACACAUACUAGCACAAUCACAUACAAUAAUACAAUCUCUGACAAGGAUAUGAGGGGAAACAGAGGGUUAAAUACACAACAUGUAAUUGAUGGGAUUGGAACCAGAUGUGAAGGAAAACAAGACAAAACCAAUGGAAAAUGAAAAAUGGAUCAGUGAUGGCUAGAAGGUCGGUGAUGUCGACCGCCGAACACCGCCCGAACACAGAGGGACCAACUUCGGUGGAAGUCGUGACAGCUACUGUGUGGCUAGGACAGGCAAGCCCCAUACUAUUGUGGAGGACUUAAUUCAUCCUGGUACUGCGGAUAUGGCUGGGACAACGCUGAGGGAAAAGGCCCAAAAAAACUGUACAGACAAUGCCUUUAUCAAGCAACACUUUCACGACGCAUCACUGAAAUGGCAGGAGAUGUUUUGAAAGAAUUACUGCUUCGCAUACAAGCCAGUGAAUUCUAUGCGUUACAGCUGGAUGAGUCAACAGACGUGGCGGGCCUGGCACAGCUCCUGGUAUAUGUCUGUUACGUUUAUGGGUGGUCAAUUAAGGAAGACAUCCUCUUCUGGAAACCAGGACAACAGGAGAGGAUAUUUUUUAAAGUACUGGACAGCUUUGUGACAUCAAAUGGACUUUGGUGGUCAAGAUGUGUUGGUA
Molecule: non-coding RNA, 6185 nt
Organism: Salmo salar (Atlantic salmon)
Lineage: Eukaryota; Metazoa; Chordata; Actinopteri; Salmoniformes; Salmonidae
Source: RefSeq, a predicted model, not a curated record